Molecule: long non-coding RNA, 1767 nt
Organism: Diospyros lotus (date-plum)
Lineage: Eukaryota; Viridiplantae; Streptophyta; Magnoliopsida; Ericales; Ebenaceae
Exons: 3
Source: RefSeq, a predicted model, not a curated record
GUUUCUGAAUCCACCCAGAAAUGUUGGCUACUUCCUUGAGAGCAUUCCUCCAUCUGGACCAUCUCUGCACCUUCUGGUUUCUCCUUCUCUUCGCUGAAAUAUCCCUUGUGUUUGGCGAAUACUUCUCCAACGCUCCCUCUUUGUUUCUGUAAAUCCGAGGGAUCUACUUUAUAAAACUCCGACAAAGAAGUGCUCACCGUUUUGUCGGUAUUCUAUAGAGUAGAUCCCUCGGAUUUACGAAAACAACCACGGAAAACCUCUUGGAAGAAGCAGACUUCUUUGGAGAAAACAACCACGUCAAACCUUGACUCUUCGAUGGGAGAAAUCGAUUCACCUCUCUCGAGCUUCAGGUCAUCCUUGAACGUGAAAUACGAAGUGUUCUUGAGCUUCAGAGGCGAAGACCGGGUGUCUUCUCCAAAUAGAGAUGGUCAACGAAGCCUUCGCCUCUGAAGCUCAAGAAGACUUCGUAUUUCAAGGACUUAGAGUGAGAAGCAAAUCAGCAACAGGCUGUACGUCCAAAUCAAAUAAAAUCAAAUCGCCGGGGAUCUAUCUUGCUUUGCUUUGCAAGCAAGUUUCAUUCCUCUAACGCCUCUAAAACCCCAAUAUCUUCUUGAUCGAUCAUCCCAAUUUGUCCCAUCUGGCAUAAACAACGACCUUCGACUUCACUCGCUCUCUUCAAACCCUUCCAGAUAAAUAAUCAGAGCCCUAGGUCAUUUCCUCUUGUCCUCCGUUCGCAGUUCGCUUUUCUCCGAUUCCAGUGACAUGGGUUUGAAUAAUCAGAAAUUACAGGAACAGUUUGACGCUGAAGCUUUGAGUUCUUCUACUCAUUGUUCGAAAAGUGGGAAGCCUAUUUUUAAAGGGUGCUGUGAGGGUGUAUGUUAAAGCAUGGAGAGGGCACUUUGAGAAUUAUUUUUCAAGGCAUCGUGGCACUCAUAUCAUAUGCGGUAACCUUCCGGACAGUACAAUCAGGAACACGAGGUACACAGUCCAUCGCUAAUUUUGACAUUCAAAGCUGAUAAUUUAGCAUUUCUUGAACUUUUAUAAUUUCCUUUGUUCGAAAUUUAUUCCAGGUCCUUAGUGGUGUGUUACCAGUAGUGAAAUCUGCAUGACUGAUGGACUGAUGGAUUCUAUUGCUGCAAACAAACUAUUAAGAUGUAUGUUUAAAUGACUAACUUGCAAAAGAUGAUGCUGUUCUGUUUCUUAUUGGGGAUGAGUAGAGUGCAAAACAGAGGUUAUGAGUUUUAUGCCGUCUUUUCUUUUGAAUAAAAUUGGCUUGGCUAACUUCUCUAGAAUAUUUGUGGCAUCCUUUUUGUUUAUGUUGUUAUAACAACAAUAAUGAUAAUCAACCAUUAACAAUGAUGAUCAUAAAUUCAUAAUUAUAAGAAUGAUAAUAAUUGUACGUACCAUAGGUUACUGCAACUAUGAAAACUCAAAUUUCGAAGAAGAAAUGUAUAUAACCUGGCUAACCUCCAGUAACCCCACAUUGUUCAGAGCCAUGCUGUCUAUAAAACUUUCAAAUGUCUGCAUAAGAUGUUCUUCCUCUAUUUUAGGAAUUUCACAAGUAGGUGGAAAAUUAUCCAGCUUAAUUGUAUUUCGCUCUCCACAUAUUGCUAAACAGAGAGUAAUUAUCUCUUUUCGAACCUGCUCCCCAACAGUCAGAAGCUUUAUUUCCAUCUAUGGAUAAUAAUCAGUUUCUUUUUGAGAUAUGAAACUUCUUUUCUUUUGUUGUUUUCCACGCUCUACAGAAGUUGAUGCUGUGUUGUUGAA